CACAAUAUGAAUCAGUUUAUAACGGAAAGUUCUAAGCGCCGGUAGUCUACUAAAUAAUAAACGCAGUGUUUCAAUUGAAAAAAUAAUUUUGAAGAAAAAAAAAAAAACAACAAAAACAUAUAAUAUAGAAAUAAAAAAAUUGAAAUAUUAAUAAAACAUUUGUUGGCGAAUAUUAAAUAUAUUUACAUGCAAAAAAACGGUUGAGAAAAUUAUAUUGUAAACAAAGGUAUUUUAUUUGUAAUAUCUAAAUCUGUGAGUGUGUUUAAGUUUUCUUUUACUUUAAGUGAAAAAAUUAAAGUUUGUGUUUUUUUUCGCUGAAUGGAGUAUUAAGGAAAGGAAACUUAAGAAAAUAUAUAAUCAACAUUUUUACGAGUACACCUCGUCAUCUAUAAUCAAGCAACUUUAUAUGGGAGCAAAACUACCCUUACAACGACUGGAAAAAAUUAUUGGCCAACUAAUAAAUAUCCCAAAAUACUCAUACACUUAAUUACGAACGAGUGUGUUCAAUCAAAUAGACUUUUGUGAUUUGUUACACGAAACAAUUAAGAAAAAAAUACUCUCAUCUGGAUUGGUGUUUCCUUGUAUUUGUUGAUGGCUGCUACUAAAAUUAUUGAUGCGCCUCGCAAUGGCCAUGAAAUGGCGCCGUUGAAUACCCGAGCCCGCGGUGAUGGUACACAUGGUGUAACAAUUGUUUUGACUGCGCCCCAAAGAAAUUCCGUUAGUUCUGUAGAGAUACCGGGCGAACCGGAACGUGCAGCAUGGUCUGGUAAAAUGCAAUUUUUCCUCAGUAUUAUUGGUUACUCAGUAGGUUUGGGUAAUAUAUGGCGUUUUCCCUACUUAUGUCAACAGAAUGGUGGAGGUGCAUUUCUAAUACCCUUCAUGGUAAUGUUGGUGCUGGAAGGUAUACCACUGUUUCUCAUUGAACUGGGCAUGGGACAGCGCAUGCGUCUGGGUGCGCUGGGUGUCUGGAAUACCAUACACCCUUGGCUAGGUGGUAUUGGUAUCUCGUCAUGUAUAGUGACGUUGUUUGUGGCCCUCUACUAUAAUGUGAUUAUAACGUGGGUGUUCUUCUAUUUGUUUAAUAGUUUCCGGUAUCCUUUGCCUUGGGCUUCAUGUCCUAACAAUGGCACAGAAGGUUUCAUAGUUGAGGAGUGUGCGCGUUCUUCGGAAACCACUUACUUUUGGUAUCGCACAACCUUGGAUGCUGCUCCCUCUAUGGAUGAGCCUGGCGGUCUUAAAUGGUGGAUUGUGCUGUGUUUGUUGCUCUCCUGGACAAUUGUGUUCUUCAUUGUGAUGAAGGGUAUUCAGAGUUCGGGUAAAGUGGUGUAUUUUACUUCACUCUUUCCCUACAUUGUCCUGACAAUCUUCUUUAUUCGUGGCAUAACUUUACGUGGCGCCAGUGCGGGUCUUAUGCACAUGUACACGCCGAAAGUUGAGAAACUAGCGGAUCCCACUGUUUGGCUAGAUGCCGCUACUCAAGUAUUUUAUUCAUUUGGUUUAGCCUUUGGCUCCUUGAUUGCCUUUGGCAGCUAUAAUACGCCCAAGAAUAAUUGCGUCCGCGAUGUUUUAUUAGUGUCCGUUUGUAAUGCCAUCACCGCCAUUUACGCCAGUGUCGUUAUUUUUGCCAUUUUGGGCUUUAAGGCUACCGUCAAUAUGGAUCGUUGUAUUGAAGUAAAUAAAGACAUUUUAUUUAAGCAUGAUAUGUUGCCUUCCAAUAAUGUCACCGAGGAAAUCUAUGAAGCAGCCAUGGCCAAAGUGACCAUGAAUCAAACAAAAGAAUGGGAACUUGGAGAAUGCAGUUUAUCGCAUGAAUUAGAUAAUGCUGCCGAGGGUACUGGUUUGGCCUUUAUAGUUUUCACACAAGCUAUUGUCGAGUUACCGGGUGCACCAUUCUGGGCUGUUCUCUUCUUUACGAUGUUAUUGUCUCUGGGCUUGGGUUCACAGAUUGGCAUACUUGAGGGCAUGCUGUGCACACUGUUUGACAUUGACAUCAUUAAGCGGGUUAAGAAACAACAUGUUACUGGAGUGGUGUGUUUUUUCUGCUUCAUUGUCGGUUUCAUCUUCUGUACAGGUGCUGGCGAGUAUUGGCUGAAGAUGUUUGACUCCUUUGCCGGUACAAUUGGUCUGGUAGUUAUAGCGCUUAUGGAAAUGAUUGCCGUCGUUUAUAUCUAUGGCCAUGAAAGAUUUACUGAGGACAUUUAUCAAAUGACUGGCUACCGACCUGGCAUCUACUGGCAAUUGACUUGGCGCUAUUUUGGACCUCUUAUCAUGGUGGCCAUUCUUGUCUCCUCUGUGGUGUUUAUGAUUAUUAAGAAUCCCACUUAUGGUGCCUGGAAUGAGGAAUUGGGCGCUGUUGAAUCUAAGAGCUAUCCACCAUGGGUUAUGGGCAUUGCUUUGUCUAUGAUUUUAGCUGGCGUUUUACCCAUGCCAAUAGUGUUCCUAAUGCGUAGCUUCCAAUGCCUUAAGGUUGAUUUGGAUAUUCAUCAAGGUUCGAUUCGAAGAAAUGAAACAACCGCCUCCACUAAGGAAAUGAUUGAUAACGAUGAUGAUAUUGUGAGUCCGGAUAUGCCACCACAAGAUUCAUUAGCGGCGACACGUUUUACAAUUGGAGACUUUGAAAACUAAAGUAAAGAAAAAUAUAAUUAUAAUAUAUAAAAAAAAUAAAUUUAAAUAAACGACGAAAAAAACACUAUACAAACGCUUAAAAAAAUAAAAACGUCUACACCACAUCAAAACAAACCAACAGCAUAAAUGGAUGAUAUUAAUUUUGCUAAAAUAAAAUACAACAAAGAAAGAAAGGAUCUUAAAUGUUUACAUAAUUAAAAGCAAAUUUAACAAUAACGGUUACCUCCUAAUUGAACAACACAUAAAUCAUAUAUACGUUACAAAAUUUUUGAAUUUAAAAAAAAGUAAUCUCAUCUUUAACACCCGCAAACACACACACAAACAAACAAACGCUCGCUCAUUUGAUUUUAAUAUAUACACUGAGAAAAAUUAAUUCUUAGAGAAAUAAAAAGUGCUUUUUAAAUUAACAUCAACUAAAUUUAUAUGAAUAGAAAUUGAUUAAAAAAUUUAAAUAAAAAAAUAUAAAAUUUAUAUUAAAGCAAUUAAACAAAUUGAAAACUUCAAAUUAAAUACAUAUGUAAUUAUAUGUAUUAAUUAGAUGAAGAGUAUGAGAGAAGAGCGCCUUCUUAAUGAUUUAUUAAAAUAUUUAAUAACAACAAUUAACAACUUUAAUCAAGAGAUAAAUAUUAUAUAAUUAUAAACUUAUAUUAUGUAAAAAACCAACAACUACUUACAAACGAAAACUAAAAACUAUUUUACAACUAGAAAAUAUUUUAGCAAACAGCAAUUAUUUACAACAUUUAACAACAACAACAAAUUAAUUAAUUAAUUAUUUACUACGAAUUGAGGACUACGAUUAAAAAGAAAACGAUUUUUACUAAAAGUAAAUAUUUCAAAAACAGAACAGAAAUUAACUGAAAAUGCAUUAAACAAAUAUGAACGAGUAUGUAGUUUUAAAGUUAAAUUAAAACGAAAUUAAUUAUUAUUAUUAUGAUUGAUAUUAUAAAAAAAGUAAUAAAUAUUUAGACUAGAAACUAUAUAAAAACAAAAUAAUAUUCUUAAAAAAACCCCCCUGCUGAAAGCUCAAGAUUUUAACAAAUUUAUUUGUAUAACAAAAUUUUGCAAAUAUUUUAUUUAGUCUAUUAAAAAAACAAAAACAAUAAACAUUUUACUAACUCUAGUAUUAAACAUUAAUUAAUGAAUGAUUGAAUAAUAACAAUAGCAACAAUACUAACAACAGCUCAUUCAUAUUAGUUAUCUUGUUUAAUUUGUAAUUUAUUUUCUUUAAAUAAAAUUUUUUUAUUACUAAUACGUACUGUUGUACAUUUAUAAGUCAACAUUAAUUAAUGUUAUUAACAUUGUAAUUUAUAUUAAAAUAUUUUAUUAUUGUUUAAGUGUUUGUUUGUACAAAUCCAACAAUUGUAAAGAAAUCACCUUAACAGCAAAAUUUAUACAUUCCAAACAUAUUAAUUACUUCAUAGAUAGAGUAUUACAUAGAUACAAACAUACUGACAUACAUAUGCAACAGCUUCAUGCCUACAUAAAUACAUAUGUAUGUAUUAAGAUUGGGUUCAAUUGGUUUAACAAUAUGCGUUAUGAUCUAAAAAGGAUGACGAUGAGAAUGAUUUCAGUGGUCCCGCAUUAGGAGGGCAUGUUAAAACGCACAGUGAUGCAUCCGAUGAUGAUGACGACGAUGAUAAACCUGUUACGAUGCGUUCAGCAAUGAUGCGUGUCUCCGGGAAUCAUCUAGAUGUGCCAACUAGCAAAAAACCGUUUAAAAUGGAAGUAUUCGAUCUGUAGACCUCUCAUUAAUUAUAAACAACAGUUUAAGUAGAAAUAUACAUAAACAAUUUUUUGGUUUUUUUAUUAACUACAUAAAAGUAAGUUAAAGUUAAAAAAUUAAAUAAAAUGAAAAUACCAAAAAAAAAUAUAAAUAAAACUCAAAAUAAUUUGCAAAUAGAACAAAAACAUAAAAUAAAUAGAACUAAUUUAUAUUUGUAAAUUUUUAAGAACAAAAAAUAUUAAAAUAAAAAAAACAAUUUAUAUUAAAAAAAUGUUUGAAAAAUUGAAAAAAAAGAGUUCGAUAUUGAGGAACAAAAAUCUUGAGAAUAAAUAAAAAAAGUAUUUGUAAAUUAAAGAAUUAUGUAGUUUUUAGUUCUAAGUAAGUAGUUAUUAAGAUUAAUGAUUAAAAUUUAAAAUGAAAUCAACAAUUAAAACAGUAUAUGAUUAUGAAAGAAUAUUUGAAUUAAGUUAUUUAGUUAUUUUAGUUCUAAAACUAAAUUGAUUUAUUUAUAAUUUUACUUUUUAAAUAUAAUAUAAAUAUAAAUAAACCCAAACCAAAUAAUUUUCUAGUUACAAUAAGUUUUGUCAGUUGAAAUGAAAAUCCAAAAAUAUUGAAAAUAUCACCCAAAACUACAAAACUGUAUAAAUAUUUAACUUUGCUUUAAUAGUUUGAAAUUUAGAACACGCAUUUCCAAACAGAGUUCAACUCUAAAGUUUUUAAUUUUAUUUUCUCCUUAGAGUUUAUUUAUCCUAUAAAUUUAUUAAAAACAAAUAAUAAUUAGUAUUAUAUAUAUUUUAUUAUAUACAUAAACUUAUUUACAAAUGUUUUUUUAAUAAUUAUUUUAUGUAAACAAAUGACAAAUUUAUAAUUAUUUGUUUUGUAAUUAAAUGCUUGCCGCUUUAGAAUUUAUGUUCCCUAAAACUAUAAAAUAAAUAAAAAUUUAAAUAAUGAACAACUCCA
RNA transcript from Lucilia sericata (common green bottle fly), 5308 nucleotides. It is a transcript of the gene named sodium-dependent neutral amino acid transporter B(0)AT3, with no coding region annotated. The transcript has 11 exons. The record is from RefSeq and is a predicted model, not a curated record. NCBI's taxonomy places the organism in Eukaryota, Metazoa, Arthropoda, Insecta, Diptera, Calliphoridae.